This 177-nucleotide ribosomal RNA is filed under the name uncultured bacterium. Its description in RNAcentral is "partial 16S ribosomal RNA". It matches the Rfam family "Bacterial small subunit ribosomal RNA", at positions 118 to 292 of the family's 1533-position model. The record is from RNAcentral.
UAGGGACCUGACUUCAAGUGGGGGACAACCUAGGGAAACUUGGGCUAAUACCGCAUGAGCUCUGAGGAGGAAAGUGAGCGACUCACGCAAGUGGGGUACACGCUUGAAGAGGAACCUGCGUCGGAUUAGCUAGUUGGUUAGGUAACGGCUGACCAAGGCGAUGAUCCGUAGCUGGUC